This 595-nucleotide ribosomal RNA is filed under the name Terriglobia bacterium. Its description in RNAcentral is "partial 23S ribosomal RNA". It matches the Rfam family "Bacterial large subunit ribosomal RNA", at positions 1 to 590 of the family's 2925-position model. The record is from RNAcentral. Lineage: Bacteria; Pseudomonadati; Acidobacteriota; Terriglobia.
GGUUAAGCUACUAAGGGCGUACGGUGGAUGCCUUGGCGCCAGAAGACGAUGAAGGACGUGGCAAGCUGCGAAAAGCCUCGGGGAGCCGCAAGCAGGCUUUGAACCGGGGAUGUCCGAAUGGGGAAACCCAACGUGAUGAACUCACGUUACGGCCGGCUGAAUACAUAGGCUGGUACGAGUCAACCCAGGGAAGUGAACCAUCUCAGUACCUGGUGGAAAAUAAAUCAACAGAGAUUCCGAAAGUAGCGGCGAGCGAAAUCGGAAGAGCCCAAACCGUUGUGCAUGCACAGCGGGGUUGUAGGACCCCAUGAGUAGAGUUACCAAUCCGGAGGCUAGGUGAACCCGCUGGAAAGCGGGGCUAUAAAGUGUGAUAGCCACGUAACCAAAAGCUUACCGGACUCGAAGGGGUAUCCUGAGUACCACGGGACACGCGAAAUCCCGUGGGAAGCUGGGGAGACCACUCUCCAAGGCUAAAUACUCUCUGGCGACCGAUAGUGAACUAGUACCGUGAGGGAAAGGUGAAAAGCACCCCUGCGAGGGGAGUGAAAUAGAACCUGAAACCGUAUGCUUACAAGCAGUCAAAGGGCUAUCUCCG